UACGUAGGGGGCAAGCGUUAUCCGGAUUUACUGGGUGUAAAGGGAGCGUAGACGGCGAGGCAAGUCUGAUGUGAAAGCCCGGGGCUCAACCCCGGAACUGCAUUGGAAACUGUUUUGCUAGAGUGCAGGAGAGGUAAGCGGAAUUCCUAGUGUAGCGGUGAAAUGCGUAGAUAUUAGGAGGAACACCAGAGGCGAAGGCGGCUUACUGGACUGUAACUGACGUUGAGGCUCGAAAGCGUGGGGAG
Molecule: ribosomal RNA, 245 nt
Filed under: uncultured Lachnospiraceae bacterium
Lineage: Bacteria; Bacillati; Bacillota; Clostridia; Lachnospirales; Lachnospiraceae
Description: partial 16S ribosomal RNA
Rfam family: Bacterial small subunit ribosomal RNA
Source: RNAcentral